This 87-nucleotide transfer RNA is filed under the name Methanobacteriota archaeon. Its description in RNAcentral is "Euryarchaeota archaeon tRNA-Leu". It matches the Rfam family "tRNA". From Rfam's summary of the family: Transfer RNA (tRNA) molecules are approximately 80 nucleotides in length. Their secondary structure includes four short double-helical elements and three loops (D, anti-codon, and T loops). Further hydrogen bonds mediate the characteristic L-shaped molecular structure. tRNAs have two regions of fundamental functional importance: the anti-codon, which is responsible for specific mRNA codon recognition, and the 3' end, to which the tRNAs corresponding amino acid is attached (by aminoacyl-tRNA synthetases). tRNAs cope with the degeneracy of the genetic code in two manners: having more than one tRNA (with a specific anti-codon) for a particular amino acid; and 'wobble' base-pairing, i.e. permitting non-standard base-pairing at the 3rd anti-codon position. Lineage: Archaea; Methanobacteriati; Methanobacteriota. The record is from RNAcentral.
AGCAUGAUCCCCUAGCCUGGUCGAUGGGGCCGGCCUUAAGAGCCGGUGAGCGAACGCUCCGCCUGGGUUCAAAUCCCAGUCAUGCUA